This is a non-coding RNA of Vicia faba (fava bean), 279 nucleotides long. The record is from the annotation of a GenBank genome assembly. Lineage: Eukaryota; Viridiplantae; Streptophyta; Magnoliopsida; Fabales; Fabaceae.
AUGCUAGAAAAUGCAGUCUCUAAUGUUUCUACCUUGAAUGAAGCCCCGUUGCUCCUUCGAAAUGAGGGAAGGCAUUAUGGAAGAAAGCCUAGCCGCGAUGAUCUUGGUAGAUGCACAAAUCGCAAGAAUUCCAAACAUGGUGUUGUCAGAAUGACAGAUGAAGGCAACAUGUUGGUCCGAGACGCUAUGAAUUUGGGGAGUAAUAUUACUGUUGCAAAUGCACUAGAGAUUAGGAGUCAACAUGUUUCUAUUAUUGACAACAAAAAGAGACAUUUGUAA